Molecule: ribosomal RNA, 465 nt
Filed under: uncultured Klebsiella sp.
Lineage: Bacteria; Pseudomonadati; Pseudomonadota; Gammaproteobacteria; Enterobacterales; Enterobacteriaceae
Description: bacterial SSU rRNA
Rfam family: Bacterial small subunit ribosomal RNA
Source: RNAcentral
CCUACGGGAGGCAGCAGUGGGGAAUAUUGCACAAUGGGCGCAAGCCUGAUGCAGCCAUGCCGCGUGUGUGAAGAAGGCCUUCGGGUUGUAAAGCACUUUCAGCGGGGAGGAAGGCGUUAAGGUUAAUAACCUUGUCGAUUGACGUUACCCGCAGAAGAAGCACCGGCUAACUCCGUGCCAGCAGCCGCGGUAAUACGGAGGGUGCAAGCGUUAAUCGGAAUUACUGGGCGUAAAGCGCACACAGGCGGUCUGUCAAGUCGGAUGUGAAAUCCCCGGGCUCAACCUGGGAACUGCAUUCGAAACUGGCAGGCUAGAGUCUUGUAGAGGGGGGUAGAAUUCCAGGUGUAGCGGUGAAAUGCGUAGAGGUCUGGAGGAAUACCGGUGGCGAAGGCGGCCCCCUGGACAAAGACUGACGCUCAGGUGCGAAAGCGUGGGGAGCAAACAGGAUUAGAUACCCCAGUAGUC